This 454-nucleotide ribosomal RNA is filed under the name uncultured bacterium. RNAcentral's name for it is "SSU rRNA". It matches the Rfam family "Bacterial small subunit ribosomal RNA", at positions 26 to 518 of the family's 1533-position model. The record is from RNAcentral.
AGGACGAACGCUGGCGGCGUGCUUAACACAUGCAAGUCGAGCGGAAAGGCCCUUCGGGGUACUCGAGCGGCGCACGGGUGCGUAACGCGUGGGAAUCUGCCCUUAGGUACGGAAUAACAGUGAGAAAUUACUGCUAAUACCGUAUGAUGUCUUCGGACCAAAGAUUUAUCGCCUAGGGAUGAGCCCGCGUUGGAUUAGCUAGUUGGUGGGGUAAAGGCCUACCAAGGCGACGAUCCAUAGCUGGUCUGAGAGGAUGAUCAGCCACACUGGGACUGAGACACGGCCCAGACUCCUACGGGAGGCAGCAGUGGGGAAUAUUGGACAAUGGGCGAAAGCCUGAUCCAGCAAUGCCGCGUGAGUGGAGAAGGCCUUCGGGUUGUAAAGCUCUUUUACCCGGGAAGAUAAUGACUGUACCGGGAGAAUAAGCCCCGGCUAACUCCGCGCCAGCAGCCGC